Molecule: long non-coding RNA, 323 nt
Filed under: Mytilus galloprovincialis (Mediterranean mussel)
Lineage: Eukaryota; Metazoa; Mollusca; Bivalvia; Mytilida; Mytilidae
Source: RNAcentral
GGCCUCAAUAGAACGCGAACGACAGUCCCCAAAAUUGUUGUAGUUAAAGAAAUAGCAGAAGUAAACCAUCUCCCCCUCUUUUCCGCAUAACAUACAUGCAUGUAUAACAAAACAUUUAAAUAUUAUCAAUUUGUCUUCUUUAAAAGUAUUUGAUGAAGAAAUGAAUUUAUACAUGUAACAAGCGAUAGGAAUGUUAUUUUGAACUCGAUGAUUUCCGUGUAUUCAUCAUGAUUUUAGAUCCGGUUAAAAACCCCAAAACGAAUAUUAGUUAUAUGGAAAUCUAGGUGACAGCAAUACACAAGAAUGCCCUCACGGUUAUCAGC